This 80-nucleotide transfer RNA is filed under the name Microbispora sp. NBRC 16548. Its description in RNAcentral is "tRNA-Arg". The record is from RNAcentral. Lineage: Bacteria; Bacillati; Actinomycetota; Actinomycetes; Streptosporangiales; Streptosporangiaceae.
UCGCGGAACAGGCUCGGUUCGAUCAGCGGGCUGCGGCCCCGCCGGGCGCGGUGACGCUGGUGCCACCCCAGGACCGCGAG